This 28-nucleotide small RNA is filed under the name Bombyx mori (domestic silkworm). RNAcentral describes it as "ovarian small RNA-28513". Lineage: Eukaryota; Metazoa; Arthropoda; Insecta; Lepidoptera; Bombycidae. The record is from RNAcentral.
UCGAUGUUAGGUAUAUUGCUGCCAGUCG